Molecule: ribosomal RNA, 327 nt
Filed under: uncultured soil bacterium
Lineage: Bacteria
Description: bacterial SSU rRNA
Rfam family: Bacterial small subunit ribosomal RNA
Source: RNAcentral
AGAGUGAACGCUGGCGGCAGGCCUAACACAUGCAAGUCGAACGGCAGCACAGGGGAGCUUGCUCCCUGGGUGGCGAGUGGCGGACGGGUGAGGACAACGUCGGAAUCUGCCUUUUUGUGGGGGAUAACGUAGGGAAACUUACGCUAAUACCGCAUACGACCCCAGGCCGGGAGGUUUGGGUGAAAGCGGAGGACCUUCGGGCUUCGCGCAGAAAGAUGAGCCGACGUCGGAUUAGCUAGUUGGUGGGGUAAAGCCCACCAAGGCGACGAUCCGUAGCUGGUCUGAGAGGAUGAUCAGCCACACUGGAACUGAGACACGGUCCAGACU